GAUGAACGCUGGCGGCGUGCCUAAUACAUGCAAGUCGAGCGAACAGACAAGGAGCUUGCUCCUUUGACGUUAGCGGCGGACGGGUGAGUAACACGUGGGUAACCUACCUAUAAGACUGGGAUAACUUCGGGAAACCGGAGCUAAUACCGGAUAAUAUUUCGAACCGCAUGGUUCGAUAGUGAAAGAUGGUUUUGCUAUCACUUAUAGAUGGACCCGCGCCGUAUUAGCUAGUUGGUAAGGUAACGGCUUACCAAGGCGACGAUACGUAGCCGACCUGAGAGGGUGAUCGGCCACACUGGAACUGAGACACGGUCCAGACUCCUACUGGAGGCAGCAGUAGGGAAUCUUCCGCAAUAGGCGAAAGCCUGACGGAGCAACGCCGCGCGAGUGAUGAAGGUCUUCUGAUCGUAAAACUCUGUUAUCAGGGAAGAACAUACAUGUAAGUAACUAUGCACGUCUUUGACGGUACCUAAUCAGAAAGCCCACGCGCUAACUACGUUGCCAGCAGCCGCGGUAAUACGUUAGUGGGCAGGCGUUUCCCGGAUUAUUGGCGUAAAAGCGCGCGUAGGCGGUUUUUUAGUCUGAUGUGAAAGCCCACGGCUCACCCUUGGAGGGUCAUUGGAAACUGGAAAACUUGAGUGCAGAAGAGGAAAGUGGAAUUCCAUGUGUAGCGGUGAAAUGCGCAGAGAUAUGGAGGAACACCAGUGGCGAAGGCGACUUUCUGGUCUGUAACUGACGCUGAUGUGCGAAAGCGUGGGGAUCAAACAGGAUUAGAUACCCUGGUAGUCCACGCCGUAAACGAUGAGUGCUAAGUGUUAGGGGGUUUCCGCCCCUUAGUGCUGCAGCUAACGCAUUAAGCACUCCGCCUGGGGAGUACGACCGCAAGGUUGAAACUCAAAGGAAUUGACGGGGACCCGCACAAGCGGUGGAGCAUGUGGUUUAAUUCGAAGCAACGCGAAGAACCUUACCAAAUCUUGACAUCCUUUGACAACUCUAGAGAUAGAGCCUUCCCCUUCGGGGGACAAAGUGACAGGUGGUGCAUGGUUGUCGUCAGCUCGUGUCGUGAGAUGUUGGGUUAAGUCCCGCAACGAGCGCAACCCUUAAGCUUAGUUGCCAUCAUUAAGUUGGGCACUCUAAGUUGACUGCCGGUGACAAACCGGAGGAAGGUGGGGAUGACGUCAAAUCAUCAUGCCCCUUAUGAUUUGGGCUACACACGUGCUACAAUGGACAAUACAAAGGGCAGCGAAACCGCGAGGUCAAGCAAAUCCCAUAAAGUUGUUCUCAGUUCGGAUUGUAGUCUGCAACUCGACUACAUGAAGCUGGAAUCGCUAGUAAUCGUAGAUUAGCAUGCUACGGUGAAUACGUUCCCGGGUCU
RNAcentral lists this ribosomal RNA (1375 nucleotides) under uncultured bacterium. RNAcentral describes it as "bacterial SSU rRNA". It matches the Rfam family "Bacterial small subunit ribosomal RNA", at positions 28 to 1381 of the family's 1533-position model. The record is from RNAcentral.